GAUGAAGAACGUAGCGAAAUGCGAUAAGUAAUGUGAAUUGCAGAAUUCAGUGAAUCAUCGAAUCUUUGAACGCACCUUGCGCCCUUUGGCCAUUCCGAAGGGCAUGCCUGUUUGAGUAUCAUGAACACCUCAACUCUUUAUGGUUUUCCAUGAUGAGCUUGGACUCUGGGGGUUUUGCUGGCUCACAGUCGGCUCCUCUAAAAUGAAUCAGCUUACCAGUGUUUGGUGGGUAUCAUGGGUGUGAUAACUAUCUACGCUUGUGGUUUUUCCACCAGGUAACCUUCAGCAGUGGAGGUUCGCUGGAGCUCAUAGAUGUCUCUCCUCAGUGAGGACAGCCCUUUGAAUGUUUGAUCUCAAAUCAGGUAGGACUACCCGCUGAACUUAAGCAUAUCAAUAAGCCGAGGA
This 405-nucleotide unclassified non-coding RNA is filed under the name soil metagenome. RNAcentral's name for it is "partial contains 5.8S ribosomal RNA, internal transcribed spacer 2, and large subunit ribosomal RNA". The stretch from base 1 to 121 matches the Rfam family "5.8S ribosomal RNA", at positions 35 to 154 of the family's 154-position model. The record is from RNAcentral.